CCUACGGGGCGCAGCAGUGAGGAAUAUUGGUCAAUGGGCGCAAGCCUGAACCAGCCAAGUCGCGUGAGGGAUGACGGUCCUAUGGAUUGUAAACCUCUUUUGUCGGGGAGCAAGGCCCGCCACGUGUGGCGGGAAGGAGAGUACCAGAAGAAAAAGCAUCGGCUAACUCCGUGCCAGCAGCCGCGGUAAUACGGAGGAUCCGAGCGUUAUCCGGAUUUAUUGGGUUUAAAGGGAGCGUAGAUGGGUUGUUAAGUCAGUUGUGAAAGUUUGCGGCUCAACCGUAAAAUUGCAAUUGAUACUGGCAGCCUUGAGUACAGUUGAGGUAGGCGGAAUUCGUGGUGUAGCGGUGAAAUGCUUAGAUAUGACGAAGAGCCCCGAUUGCGAAGGCAGCUUGCUGCAGCGGAACUGACGCUGAUGCUCGAAAGCGCGGGUAUCGAACAGGAUUAGAUACCCUUGUAGUC
This 461-nucleotide ribosomal RNA is filed under the name uncultured bacterium. Its description in RNAcentral is "partial 16S ribosomal RNA". It matches the Rfam family "Bacterial small subunit ribosomal RNA", at positions 338 to 795 of the family's 1533-position model. The record is from RNAcentral.